GUUCAGUCGCCGCUGCCGACCGUUGCCGAUGUCACCGUCGCGACGACGACUGUCCCGCACCGCGGACGCCGCUUCAACGUCACUGGGUGGUAACUGAACGCGUUACGGCGAUGCGACAGUCAGCGUGGUCGUCAUUACGCGUAAACUGAAUCACGUCGUAUCGGCGGUUAGGUGUGAAGUUGGCGCGGCAUUUCAAAGUACGCCUCGAGACGUAGAAAUGGCGACCGGCGCGUAACCUCGGUCAGUGGGCGACAGCAGUGUCGUCAUCGGACCGAACGUGCUGAACGAAUCUGACUGCGAGCCAACCGAGCCGUCGGCGGUUCGAGCCGUCGGUAAAACGGCUCGGACGCGGGCGCAGGCGAGCGACGUCGCGACGACCGCGCGGCUUCAUCCAUCUCGAGGGUGCGAUCGAUCGCGCGCGGAAAACUCGAGGGCGCAAUAUCGAUACGCGCGCAUGCGCCGAUGCGACGCCGCGCGCAAGGUCGUGGCGACUUUGCCGCGCUCGUCGGACGCGAGUAAUACCCUGCAACGGAACGAUUAAUUUUUUGGUGCGAAACAAUUCCGCGAUGCCCGUGACUCGUCAAGUCGAAACUCUCUUGGCGAGACGAGAGAUUGAAGAGACGAGGGAAAAAUAAAUACCGAGUUAACGUCGAGAUGAGAGCCGGUGGUGAAAUCCUACGAUGGACCGUCCGCAAUGCGAGGGAAAAACGGAUAAUCGGCGCGAUUAUCUUUCUCGAGUUGCCAGGAGAACGGACGGACGUGACGCAUCGAAAAAUAAAGCCUUCCCCAGGCAGCACACAUUGGUUUCAAAACCGUUUCAUAACCAUUUUAUUGAAACGUUUAUUUAGCA
Long non-coding RNA from Ooceraea biroi (clonal raider ant), 850 nucleotides. RefSeq lists it as uncharacterized. The record is from RefSeq and is a predicted model, not a curated record. Lineage: Eukaryota; Metazoa; Arthropoda; Insecta; Hymenoptera; Formicidae.